Molecule: ribosomal RNA, 432 nt
Filed under: uncultured bacterium
Lineage: Bacteria
Description: partial 16S ribosomal RNA
Rfam family: Bacterial small subunit ribosomal RNA
Source: RNAcentral
AACGAACGCUGGCGGCAUGCCUAACACAUGCAAGUCGAACGAGACCAUCGGGUCUAGUGGCGCACGGGUGCGUAACGCGAGGGAACCUGCCCUUAGGUUCGGAAUAACUCUCCGAAAGGGGUGCCAAUACGGGACAAGGUCUUCGGACCAAAGAUUUAUCGCCUUUGUAUGGGCCCGCGUUGGAUUAGCUAGUUGGUAGGGUAAAAGCCUACCAAGGCGACGAUCCAUAGCUGGUCUUAGAGGAUGAUCAGCCACCCUAGGACUGAGAAACGGCCCAGACUCCUCCGGAUGGCAGCAGUCGUGAAUAUUCGACGCUGCGCGAAAGCCUGAUCCAGCAGUGCCGCGUGAGUCAUGAAGGCCUUAGGGUUGUAAAGCUCUUUUACCCGGGAUGAUAAUGACAGUCCCGGGAGAAUAAGCUCCGGCAACCUCCGU